This 405-nucleotide ribosomal RNA is filed under the name uncultured bacterium. RNAcentral's name for it is "partial 16S ribosomal RNA". It matches the Rfam family "Bacterial small subunit ribosomal RNA", at positions 28 to 526 of the family's 1533-position model. The record is from RNAcentral.
GAUGAACGCUGGCGGCGUGCCUAAUACAUGCAAGUCGAGCGCAGCGGGGACGGGUGAGUACCACGUAGAUAACCUCCUAUAAGAAUGGGAUAACUUCGGGAAACCGGCGCUAAACCGGAUACUCUUAGAUGGAUCCGCGUUGCAUUAGCUAGUUGGUAAGGUAACGGCUUACCAAGGCCACGAUGCAUAGCCGACCUGAGAGGGGUGUCACCCCCACUGGAACUGAGACACGGUGCAGCCUCGUCCAUGAAUCACCAUUAUCUAAUCUUCCGCAAUUGACGAAAGCCUGACAGAGCAACGCCGCGUGAGUGAUGAAUAUCUUCGGAUCUUAAAACUCUGUUAUUAGGGAAGCGGUACCUAAUCAGAAAGCCACGGCUAACUACGUGCCAGCAGCCGCGGUAAUAC